RNAcentral lists this ribosomal RNA (643 nucleotides) under uncultured Actinomycetes bacterium. RNAcentral's name for it is "bacterial SSU rRNA". It matches the Rfam family "Bacterial small subunit ribosomal RNA", at positions 232 to 885 of the family's 1533-position model. The record is from RNAcentral. Lineage: Bacteria; Bacillati; Actinomycetota; Actinomycetes.
CGCGGCCUAUCAGCUUGUUGGUGAGGUAAUGGCUCACCAAGGCGACGACGGGUAGCCGGCCUGAGAGGGUGACCGGCCACACUGGGACUGAGACACGGCCCAGACUCCUACGGGAGGCAGCAGUGGGGAAUAUUGCACAAUGGGCGAAAGCCUGAUGCAGCGACGCCGCGUGAGGGAUGACGGCCUUCGGGUUGUAAACCUCUUUCAGCAGGGAAGAAGCGAAAGUGACGGUACCUGCAGAAGAAGCGCCGGCUAACUACGUGCCAGCAGCCGCGGUAAUACGUAGGGCGCAAGCGUUGUCUGGAAUUAUUGGGCGUAAAGAGCUCGUAGGCGGUUUGUCGCGUCUGCUGUGAAAGCCCGGGGCUCAACCCCGGGUCUGCAGUGGGUACGGGCAGACUAGAGUGCAGUAGGGGAGACUGGAAUUCCUGGUGUAGCGGUGAAAUGCGCAGAUAUCAGGAGGAACACCAAUGGCGAAGGCAGGUCUCUGGGCUGUAACUGACGCUGAGGAGCGAAAGCAUGGGGAGCGAACAGGAUUAGAUACCCUGGUAGUCCAUGCCGUAAACGUUGGGCACUAGGUGUGGGGGACAUUCCACGUUUUCCGCGCCGUAGCUAACGCAUUAAGUGCCCCGCCUGGGGAGUACGG